ACAGCAGUCGCCGCGGUAAUACGGAGGGUGCAAGCGUUAAUCGGAAUUACUGGGCGUAAAGCGCACGCAGGCGGUUUGUUAAGUCAGAUGUGAAAUCCCCCGAGCUUAACUUGGGAACUGCAUUUGAAACUGGCAAGCUAGAGUCUUGUAGAGGGGGGUAGAAUUCCAGGUGUAGCGGUGAAAUGCGUAGAGAUCUGGAGGAAUACCGGUGGCGAAGGCGGCCCCCUGGACAAAGACUGACGCUCAGGUGCGAAAGCGUGGGGAGCAAACAGGAUUAGAUACCCGUGUAGUCCCUGUCUCUUAUA
This 305-nucleotide ribosomal RNA is filed under the name uncultured bacterium. RNAcentral's name for it is "partial 16S ribosomal RNA". It matches the Rfam family "Bacterial small subunit ribosomal RNA", at positions 508 to 808 of the family's 1533-position model. The record is from RNAcentral.